UACGAAGGGGGCUAGCGUUUCUCGGAACCACUGGGCGUAAAGCGCACGUAGGCGGCUUUCUAAGUCAGGGUGAAAUCCUGGAGCUCAACUCCAGAACUGCCCUUGAUACUGGAGAGCUUGAGUUCGGGAGAGGUGAGUGGAACUGCGAGUGUAGAGGUGAAAUUCGUAGAUAUUCGCAAGAACACCAGUGGCGAAGGCGGCUCACUGGCCCGAUACUGACGCUGAGGUGCGAAAGCGUGGGGAGCAAACAGG
Molecule: ribosomal RNA, 252 nt
Filed under: uncultured bacterium
Lineage: Bacteria
Description: partial 16S ribosomal RNA
Rfam family: Bacterial small subunit ribosomal RNA
Source: RNAcentral